This 253-nucleotide ribosomal RNA is filed under the name uncultured bacterium. RNAcentral describes it as "partial 16S ribosomal RNA". It matches the Rfam family "Bacterial small subunit ribosomal RNA", at positions 524 to 776 of the family's 1533-position model. The record is from RNAcentral.
UACGGAGGGUGCGAGCGUUAUCCGGAAUCAUUGGGUUUAAAGGGUCCGUAGGCGGGCGCAUAAGUCAGUGGUGAAAUUCUGUGGCUCAACCAUAGAACUGCCAUUGAUACUGUGCGUCUUGAAUUAUCGUGAAGUGGCUAGAAUAUGUAGUGUAGCGGUGAAAUGCUUAGAGAUUACAUAGAAUACCGAUUGCGAAGGCAGGCCACUAACGGUAGAUUGACGCUGAUGGACGAAAGCGUGGGUAGCGAACAGG